AAGUAGCGUUAAGGAUAGCAGUGGAAAUCCUUUUUUAGUGUCACAUUGAGCGCAGUCGAAAUGUUUCUGACACUAAAAAAGAUUGUAACGAAUAGCCUGUUAAAAC
This 106-nucleotide small RNA is filed under the name Ulvibacter antarcticus. Its description in RNAcentral is "Flavo-1 RNA". It matches the Rfam family "Flavo-1 RNA". Lineage: Bacteria; Pseudomonadati; Bacteroidota; Flavobacteriia; Flavobacteriales; Flavobacteriaceae. The record is from Rfam by way of RNAcentral.